CCUACGGGUGGCAGCAGUGGGGGAUAUUGCACAAUGGUGGAAACACUGAAGCAGCGAAGCCGCGUGUGGGAAGAAGGUCCACUGGAUCGUAAACCACUGUUCUCAGGGACGAAAAUGACGGUCCCUUGCGCAGAAGCUUCGGCUAACUACGAGCCCGCCGCCGCGGUCAUACGCAGGGAGCGAGCGUUGUCCGGAAUUACGAGGUGUAAAGGGAUCGUAGGCGGGGAAGAAAGGUGGGUGUAAACACUUACGGCACAACUGGUAGUCGCACUUAAAACUGCAGCUCUUGAGUGAAAAAGAGGCAUGCGGAAUUCGGAGUGUAGCGGUGAAAUGCGUAGAUAUUAGGAGGAACUCCAGUGGCGAAGGCGGCCUGCUGGGCUUUCACUGACGCUGAGGCUCGAAAGUGUGGGGAGCAAACAGGAUUAGAUACCCCUGUAGUC
RNAcentral lists this ribosomal RNA (440 nucleotides) under uncultured bacterium. Its description in RNAcentral is "partial 16S ribosomal RNA". It matches the Rfam family "Bacterial small subunit ribosomal RNA", at positions 338 to 795 of the family's 1533-position model. The record is from RNAcentral.